UCUCUCUCUCUCUCCCUGUGUGUGUGUGUGUGUGUGUGUGUGUAGAGAGAGAGAGAGAGAGAGUUUUUCCUUUCCCAAGGGAAGGCUUUCAACUUUGAAAACUUCAUGAAGUGUUUUUUGGCAUAAUUUCCCAAAUAGCUGUGAAAUAAAUAUUCUGAAAUAUUCAUAUUUCUCUAUGGUGACAAACUAUAAAGUAGUCCUUUUACCUUUAAAGAUGGAUGGACACAGCAUCUAUAGCUUUGCCUUGAAGUUCUGUAGAAGCAAUUAUUGUAAUAAGUUCGGGUAUUGAAGAUAUUUUAAAGAA
Long non-coding RNA from Sapajus apella (tufted capuchin), 304 nucleotides. RefSeq lists it as uncharacterized. The record is from RefSeq and is a predicted model, not a curated record. Lineage: Eukaryota; Metazoa; Chordata; Mammalia; Primates; Cebidae. The transcript has 2 exons.